Molecule: ribosomal RNA, 496 nt
Filed under: uncultured bacterium
Lineage: Bacteria
Description: partial 16S ribosomal RNA
Rfam family: Bacterial small subunit ribosomal RNA
Source: RNAcentral
GAUGAACGCUGGCGGCGUGCCUAAUACAUGCAAGUCGAGCGAACGGACGAGAAGCUUGCUUCUCUGAUGUUAGCGGCGGACGGGUGAGUAACACGUGGAUAACCUACCUAUAAGACUGGGAUAACUUCGGGAAACCGGAGCUAAUACCGGAUAAUAUUUUGAACCGCAUGGUUCAAAAGUAAAAGACGGUCUUGCUGUCACUUAUAGAUGGAUCCGCGCUGCAUUAGCUAGUUGGUAAGGUAACGGCUUACCAAGGCAACGAUGCAUAGCCGACCGGAGAGGGGACACGGCCACACGGGACUUAGGACCGGGGCCGGACCCCUACGGGGGGCGGAGGGGGGGAAUCUGCCCAAAGGGGGGAAGGCCUAACGAGGCAACGCGGGGUGGGUAGGAAGGGUCUUGGGUUCGAAAAACCUUUUUAUGAGGAAAAAAAAGAUGUUGAAAAAACUGUGCACAUCUGACGGUACCCGAAUCAGAAGCCCCGGCUAACUACGGG